Molecule: ribosomal RNA, 269 nt
Filed under: uncultured prokaryote
Description: partial 16S ribosomal RNA
Rfam family: Bacterial small subunit ribosomal RNA
Source: RNAcentral
UACGUAGGUGGCGAGCGUUAUCCGGAAUUAUUGGGCGUAAAGAGCGCGCAGGUGGUUGAUUAAGUCUGAUGUGAAAGCCCACGGUUUAACCGUGGAGGGUCAUUGGAAACUGGUCGACUUGAGUGCAGAAGAGGGAAGCGGAAUUCCAUGUGUAGCGGUGAAAUGCGUAGAGAUAUGGAGGAACACCAGUGGCGAAGGCGGCUUCCUGGUCUGUAACUGACACUGAGGCGCGAAAGCGUGGGGAGCAAACAGGAUUAGAUACCCCUGUA